Molecule: ribosomal RNA, 983 nt
Filed under: Omaspides trifasciata
Lineage: Eukaryota; Metazoa; Arthropoda; Insecta; Coleoptera; Chrysomelidae
Description: partial large subunit ribosomal RNA
Source: RNAcentral
CUAACAAGGAUUCCCUUAGUAGCUGCGAGCGAACAGGGAAGAGCCCAGCACUGAAUCCCGCGGCCGACAUCGGACGCCGGGAAAUGUGGUGUUAGGGAGGAUCCGUUUAUCCCGAGGUCGUGUGCGGUGCGUCCAAGUCCUUCUUGAACGGGGCCACAGCCCAUAGAGGGUGCCAGGCCCGUAGUGACCACUGCCGAUCGCGGGAGGAUCUCUCCUAAGAGUCGGGUUGCUUGAGAGUGCAGCCCUAAGUGGGUGGUAAACUCCAUCUAAGGCUAAAUAUAACCACGAGACCGAUAGCGAACAAGUACCGUGAGGGAAAGUUGAAAAGCACUUUGAAGAGAGAGUUCAAGAGUACGUGAAACCGUUCAGGGGUAAACCUGAGAAACCCGAAAGGUCGAAUGGGGAAAUUCAUUCGCGUUUCGAUUGUCGGCGUUMAACUGAUGCGUGACUAACGGGGUACGCUUCGUGAGCACCUUCAGUUUUUCGAACCGACUUCGAACGCGUGCACUUUUCCCCUAGUAGGACGUCGCGAUCCGUUGGGUGUCGAUCUAAGGCCUGCGGUGGAGCUCGCGUGGACGUUUCGGCGUUCCAUACGAACCCGCAGUGUCCCGAUCGACUCGCUCGACGGUAUAAAGAUGGCGCGAGGCCGCUACACACAGUUAGCGUUCGGCCUACGGCAAGCACGUACGGUGUUUGAUGGCGAUCAGACCUAGUCGGAUCCCAUCCCCGGACGACUGUUGGCUCGUAGUGUUCUCGAACAGACCUCGUUGAAACGCCGAUCUGCGACGCUAUAGCUUUGGGUACUUUCAGGACCCGUCUUGAAACACGGACCAAGGAGUCUAGCAUGUGCGCGAGUCAUUGGGAUAUCACUAAACCUAAAGGCGUAAUGAAAGUAAAGAUUCGUCUUGCACGAAUCGAGGGAGGAUGAGCGGUUUGCCCUUAAAGUGGCCGCUCCGCACUCCCGGGGCGUCUCGUUCUCAUUG